UACGUAGGUGGCAAGCGUUGUCCGGAAUUAUUGGGCGUAAAGAGCUCGUAGGCGGCUUGUCACGUCGGCUGUGAAAACCCGGGGCUCAACCCCGGGCCUGCAGUCGAUACGGGCAGGCUAGAGUCCGGCAGGGGAGACUGGAAUUCCUGGUGUAGCGGUGAAAUGCGCAGAUAUCAGGAGGAACACCGGUGGCGAAGGCGGGUCUCUGGGCCGGAACUGACGCUGAGGAGCGAAAGCGUGGGGAGCGAACAGG
This 253-nucleotide ribosomal RNA is filed under the name uncultured bacterium. RNAcentral's name for it is "partial 16S ribosomal RNA". It matches the Rfam family "Bacterial small subunit ribosomal RNA", at positions 524 to 776 of the family's 1533-position model. The record is from RNAcentral.